This 572-nucleotide ribosomal RNA is filed under the name Hyaloscypha spinulosa. RNAcentral describes it as "partial 28S ribosormal RNA". It matches the Rfam family "Eukaryotic large subunit ribosomal RNA", at positions 62 to 648 of the family's 3401-position model. Lineage: Eukaryota; Fungi; Ascomycota; Leotiomycetes; Helotiales; Hyaloscyphaceae. The record is from RNAcentral.
AAACCAACAGGGAUUGCCUCAGUAACGGCGAGUGAAGCGGCAACAGCUCAAAUUUGAAAUCUGGCUCUUUCAGGGUCCGAGUUGUAAUUUGUAGAAGAUGCUUUGGGUGUAGCUCCGGUCUAAGUUCCUUGGAACAGGACGUCAUAGAGGGUGAGAAUCCCGUACGUGACUGGGUGCUUUCGCUCGUGUAAAGCUCUUUCGACGAGUCGAGUUGUUUGGGAAUGCAGCUCAAAAUGGGUGGUAAAUUUCAUCUAAAGCUAAAUAUUGGCCAGAGACCGAUAGCGCACAAGUAGAGUGAUCGAAAGAUGAAAAGCACUUUGGAAAGAGAGUUAAACAGUACGUGAAAUUGUUGAAAGGGAAGCGCUUGCAACCAGACUUGCACGCUGUUGAUCAUCCGAGAUUUUUCCCGGUGCACUCGGCAGUGUUCAGGCCAGCAUCGGUUUUGGUGGGCGGAUAAAGGCCUUGGGAAUGUAGCUUCUUUCGGGGAGUGUUAUAGCCCUCGGUGCAAUGCGCCCUACCGGGACCGAGGACCGCGCUUCGGCUAGGAUGCUGGCGUAAUGGUUGUAAGCGAC